UAAAGUGCAUGGCUGCUUCUCUGGGGUCGGGUCGUGGUGGCAGCAAGCUAAGUAGGGCACUCCAGACGUCCCUCUCACCAGCAACGCCCUCCAGCUCCUCCUGGGGGAUCCCAAGGCGUUCCCGGGCCAGAUUGGACAUGUAGUCCCUCCAUUUGAACAGGUUGCUGGUUCUCUGGUCGCUGCCUA
Lampris incognitus (smalleye Pacific opah) is the source of this 186-nucleotide long non-coding RNA. RefSeq lists it as uncharacterized. NCBI's taxonomy places the organism in Eukaryota, Metazoa, Chordata, Actinopteri, Lampriformes, Lampridae. The record is from RefSeq and is a predicted model, not a curated record. The transcript has 3 exons.